CCACCCACGGGCCGUAUUAAAUCUAAAUCGGUCCGACUCUCCCGCAACACGACCCCGGCGCACGCACGAAGAUCUCUCUUCGUCUUGCACGGCCUCGAAGGGAAACCUAGAUCUAUUUCUGCCCCUAUAUAUACUGGCCAGAACGAGAGCAAACGUCAAAUCCCAGCCCUGAAACCCUAGCCGCAAUCUGCCUCGACUUCUUUCCCAACCUUUAUCCAUGCACCUUCAGUUAGGCCCCCUGACUUUGAUCUGCAUGUCACCAAGGAAGGCAUUGUUACCGAACUUGCCCAAUUGAUCUGUGCUGCAGGGCGAUCUUGGCCUUGCACAUCUGGUUGAACACUUUGUUAUGAAGGGUUCUUUUAAGAGCUGUAGUUUUUGUUGUAAUACGAUAUAUGAAUUUUGUCUUUGUUUCAUAAUGCCUGUUUGGUUGGUUAGUAACAUUUGAUUUUCCUGCCUUAGUAUGGCUUGAACCAUAAAUCAUGUGACAAGGAGAUCCAAACUAGAAAUUCUUACACAGUACAAAAAACCUGUUUACCUAAA
Triticum aestivum (bread wheat) is the source of this 540-nucleotide long non-coding RNA. RefSeq lists it as uncharacterized. NCBI's taxonomy places the organism in Eukaryota, Viridiplantae, Streptophyta, Magnoliopsida, Poales, Poaceae. The transcript is spliced from 2 exons. The record is from RefSeq and is a predicted model, not a curated record.